GCCCUGAUGGUCUAGUAGUAUGAUACCUUGUUAGGGUUGUUUUAACGCUCGAGGUGGUCCCCGGUUCAAUUCCGGGUUAGGGCC
Non-coding RNA from Mycena polygramma, 84 nucleotides. The record is from the annotation of a GenBank genome assembly. NCBI's taxonomy places the organism in Eukaryota, Fungi, Basidiomycota, Agaricomycetes, Agaricales, Mycenaceae.